Dreissena polymorpha is the source of this 737-nucleotide long non-coding RNA. RefSeq lists it as uncharacterized. The record is from RefSeq and is a predicted model, not a curated record. The transcript is spliced from 3 exons. Lineage: Eukaryota; Metazoa; Mollusca; Bivalvia; Myida; Dreissenidae.
AUGAAUAAGAAUCGCGUAAUCAUUUCCAAGAAAAUAAAAUUAUUAAUUUGAAAGCUGGGUUUUCGUACAAGGAGAACUAUACAUCGUGCCAUAGCGAAGUUAAUUCUAAUUUAUUUAUUUUUUGACAUUUAGUUGUGGCAUUAUGUUGACAUUUUGUUGUGCCAUAAUGCUGAAUGGUAAAUUGGUUUGUUAAGAAAGAAACGUGCCAUGUGAAGUACGCAACUUCGUUUUUUCUUCGAUUGUUAUCAAAUAUAAGCAUGCAGGAUAAAGUUUACAUAGUGCAGGAUUAAUAUCAAGGACAUCAUGAAAAGUGUUUGCAGCAUAACGACAUGUUUUAUUGUGACUAUUUUAAUUGCUAAAAUGCCAAAUACACAAGGUGCUCCGUCUUUUAGUGGUGCCUCUACAUUUAGUGUGUCUGAAAGUAGACCUAUAGGAACUACAGUCGGGACAAUAAGUGCAGUGGAUGGGACUAACCCAAUUAAUUAUACUAUCACUAUCGGAGGUACACAUUUUACGAUCGAUUCAACCAGUGGAAUAGUAUAUACGGCAAGAGUAUUUGAUUCCGAAAACGGAGAUAUCAGAAUAAACAUAACCGUGAGCCACGUCGAUUGCCUUGCUUACGGUAACAGACGCUGAUGGUACUACGCCUACCAUAUCAAUCUUUUCUGGAAACAACGACAACAAGUUUGAGCUGCGAGCCAGUAACACGAAGGAGAUCAUUACACAAACAGCUGAUC